Molecule: ribosomal RNA, 253 nt
Filed under: uncultured bacterium
Lineage: Bacteria
Description: partial 16S ribosomal RNA
Rfam family: Bacterial small subunit ribosomal RNA
Source: RNAcentral
UACGAAGGGGGCUAGCGUUGCUCGGAAUCACUGGGCGUAAAGGGUGCGUAGGCGGGUCUUUAAGUCAGGGGUGAAAUCCUGGAGCUCAACUCCAGAACUGCCUUUGAUACUGAAGAUCUUGAGUCCGGGAGAGGUGAGUGGAACUGCGAGUGUAGAGGUGAAAUUCGUAGAUAUUCGCAAGAACACCAGUGGCGAAGGCGGCCCACUGGCCCGGUACUGACGCUGAGGCACGAAAGCGUGGGGAGCAAACAGG